RNAcentral lists this ribosomal RNA (1845 nucleotides) under marine metagenome. RNAcentral's name for it is "bacterial LSU rRNA". It matches the Rfam family "Bacterial large subunit ribosomal RNA", at positions 1096 to 2925 of the family's 2925-position model. The record is from RNAcentral.
GGAGGUUGGCUUAGAAGCAGCCAUCCUUUAAAGAAAGCGUAAUAGCUCACUAGUCGAGUCGGCCUGCGCGGAAGAUGUAACGGGGCUAAACUGAGAACCGAAGCUGCGGAUGCAUAGUUUACUAUGCAUGGUAGAGGAGCGUUCUGUAAGCCGUUGAAGGUGCAUCGUAAGGUGUGCUGGAGGUAUCAGAAGUGCGAAUGCUGACGUGAGUAACGAUAAAGGGGGUGAAAAACCCCCUCGCCGGAAGAUCAAGGUUUCCUGUCCAACGCUAAUCGGGACAGGGUUAGUCGGCACCUAAGGCGAGGCCGAAAGGCGUAGUCGAUGGAAAACAGGUUAAUAUUCCUGUACCUCUUUAUACUGCGAUGGGGGGACGGAGAAGGCUAGGUGAUCAGGGCGUUGGUUGUCCCUGUAUAAGCUUGUAGGGAGAUCUCUUAGGUAAAUCCGGGAGGUCAUAUCCUGAGGAGUGAUAUCGAGCUCAAUUGCGAGCGAAGUCAUUGAUGCCAUGCUUCCAAGAAAAGCCUCUAAGCUUCAGGUAUAAAGAGACCGUACUCUAAACCGACACAGGUGAUCAGGUAGAGAAUACCAAGGCGCUUGAGAGAACUCAGGUGAAGGAACUAGGCAAAAUGGUGCCGUAACUUCGGGAGAAGGCACGCCAAUUUUGGUGACGGGACUUGCUCCCCGAGCUGAAGUUGGCCGCAGAGACCAGGCCCCUGCGACUGUUUAUCUAAAACACAGCACUCUGCAAACUCGUAAGAGGAAGUAUAGGGUGUGACGCCUGCCCGGUGCCGGAAGGUUAAUUGAUGGGGUUAGCUUAGGCGAAGCUCUUGAUCGAAGCCCCGGUAAACGGCGGCCGUAACUAUAACGGUCCUAAGGUAGCGAAAUUCCUUGUCGGGUAAGUUCCGACCUGCACGAAUGGCGUAACGAUGGGGGCGCUGUCUCCACCUGAGACUCAGUGAAAUCGAAAUCGCGGUGAAGAUGCCGUGUUCCCGCGGCUAGACGGAAAGACCCCGUGAACCUUUACUAUAGCUUGGCACUGAACUUUGAACCUAUCUGUGUAGGAUAGGUGGGAGGCUUUGAAGCGUGAUCGCUAGAUUGCGUGGAGCCAUCCUUGAAAUACCACCCUGGUAUGUUUGAGGUUCUAACGCAGACCCGUUAUCCGGGUCGCGGACAGUGUCUGGUGGGUAGUUUGACUGGGGCGGUCUCCUCCCAAAGAGUAACGGAGGAGCGCGAUGGUACACUCAGCAUGGUCGGAAAUCAUGCUAUGAGCGCAAAGGUAGAAGUGUGCUUGACUGCGAGACUGACACGUCGAGCAGGUACGAAAGUAGGUCUUAGUGAUCCGGUGGUUCUGUAUGGAAGGGCCAUCGCUCAACGGAUAAAAGGUACUCCGGGGAUAACAGGCUGAUACCGCCCAAGAGUUCAUAUCGACGGCGGUGUUUGGCACCUCGAUGUCGGCUCAUCACAUCCUGGGGCUGAAGUCGGUCCCAAGGGUAUGGCUGUUCGCCAUUUAAAGUGGUACGCGAGCUGGGUUCAGAACGUCGUGAGACAGUUCGGUCCCUAUCUGCCGUGGGCGUUGGAAAAUUGAGGAAAGCUGCUCCUAGUACGAGAGGACCGGAGUGGACGAACCGCUGGUGUUUGGGUUGUCAUGCCAAUGGCAUUGCCCAGUAGCUACGUUCGGACAGGAUAACCGCUGAAAGCAUCUAAGCGGGAAGCCCCUUCCAAGAUUAAUUUUCCCUGGGAGUUUAACUUCCCUGAAGGGCCGUUCAAGACUAGGACGUUGAUAGGUUGGGUGUGGAAGCGCUGUGAGGCGUUGAGCUAACCAAUACUAAUUGCCCGUGAGGCUUGACC